UGUAUUUUAGUUUAUAAAGAAUAUUUGUUUUUGGUGCAAGUGGAUUUAGAUACAA
This 55-nucleotide transfer RNA is filed under the name Heterakis beramporia. RNAcentral describes it as "tRNA-Gln". Lineage: Eukaryota; Metazoa; Nematoda; Chromadorea; Rhabditida; Heterakidae. The record is from RNAcentral.